GUCUGUGGAAAAUACAGAAAACACAGGGAAGAUGAGAAAAUGACCUCAUUGAACUCUGAGAACUUAAGCAAACAAACAGCUUCGGCCAACAUACCACAUUCUUGCGGCACUUCUGCCCAAACAACAAAUUGACCUAUAAGUUAUAUAAUCACCCACAAGCCCCUGUGCCCCGUGUAAAUGUGGGGAGGGGGAAAGGGGUUUCAUUGAAAGGAGAGGGAGGGGAGGGAAAGCAGUAAACCUGCUCCCGUAGGAAAAAAUGCUUGGGGGUGAGCUGCCCGUACCCCCCUUCCCACCACCUCCCCACCCCAAAUGCUGUACUCACAUGAGGUUCAGGUUUAAUUGCACUCCGAAUACCAGCAGAGUGAUGGCACUGGUUGUUUAUUAUAGUAUGAAUUAUUUCAGUACAGCAUAAAUUUUCCAUUUCAAAGGAUCCCGAAUGCCUGCAGGGAAGGGACUAGGUUUUGUGAGCAGAGGGUGGCCUCUGUAAAAGUUGGUGGGGAUUUCUUCCGAGCGGUGGUUAAAGCUGCAUUCUUUGAACCUGGUUAGGGGGGCUCUGCGGAGCAUGUUUAGGGGCUGUGUUUUCCCCUGCAGAGGCCCCCUGUAGUGAUGGCUCGGAAUGCCUGAGCUACCAUUUUAUGUCAACCGAACAAAUCCUAGUGUAAAAAUGCAGAGGCUAACCAAAGGCCGUGGGCUCGGUUGUUGUUGUUGCUCUACAUAGCUGCAGAAAAGGAGGAUGUAUAUCCCCGUCCCCAACAGCUGAGUGUGCUGAAAGGAGCCUGUGUGACCUUCCCUUACAUAUGUCCAUCCCAUGACGGUGAAGACUAUUGCUGUAUUUUGUAGCUUCAAGCAGAUACAAGAAAGAGUUUUAGGAAAUACCAAUGGCAGGAGCAGUGAUUUAGGCAGGAAGAGAAGGAAGAAGCCUAGCAAACAGCCACAGAAACACUGGAGAAAGGCAAACAAUUUAAAUUGUCGCUCAUG
Anas platyrhynchos (mallard) is the source of this 978-nucleotide long non-coding RNA. RefSeq lists it as uncharacterized. Lineage: Eukaryota; Metazoa; Chordata; Aves; Anseriformes; Anatidae. The record is from RefSeq and is a predicted model, not a curated record.